AACAAUCUAGGUUAAUUUAUAGACUGCCUGUCUUCAAAACAGGAGGUGAUUUUGUCGUUUGUUG
RNAcentral lists this transfer RNA (64 nucleotides) under Amphimerus sp. JM-2019. RNAcentral's name for it is "tRNA-Trp". Lineage: Eukaryota; Metazoa; Platyhelminthes; Trematoda; Opisthorchiida; Opisthorchiidae. The record is from RNAcentral.